RNAcentral lists this long non-coding RNA (256 nucleotides) under Elaeis guineensis (African oil palm). Its description in RNAcentral is "long non-coding RNA (EGUI_LNC040749)". Lineage: Eukaryota; Viridiplantae; Streptophyta; Magnoliopsida; Arecales; Arecaceae. The record is from RNAcentral.
UAACAACCCAGCUGUCUGACAUUCUUCUAUAUAAACAAUCAGAGCCCCAAGGAUCCAAGUAAGUUUAAUCAAACCCCUCUCAAAGAAUCCAUUGCUGCUCUCUUUGUUCUCUAUUUUUUUGACUUGAGCAUCGGAGGGUCUUCGUCAGAGCCACAACCUCUGGUUUGAGACUUGUCUUGCAGGUCACUCCAGUGCCAGCAUCCCUGCAUGAGGAUCAGGCAUCCAUCUUCUAACCUCGAUCGAUUUAAGUAGCAAC